This 680-nucleotide unclassified non-coding RNA is filed under the name Hevea brasiliensis (rubber tree). The record is from RNAcentral. Lineage: Eukaryota; Viridiplantae; Streptophyta; Magnoliopsida; Malpighiales; Euphorbiaceae.
UACCUUGGAUUUUGUAAUGUGUUGAUUUCUCUCUUUAAUAGCUUAUAGUUUAAAUCUUACAGGAGUUAACACUUACUAUGCAUUGUUCAACCAGAAGUGAACAAAUGGUUUUAUUUCGAGGCCUGUUGAAUUUUCUUUCAAAGUUUUUCUAUCAUAAUUUUUUUGAUCUUAAUGUCUUUUAACUUAAGAGGGUGGCUUUGGUGUGAUGGUAAGGUUACUCUGAGGUCACAAGGUUCGACCACGGAAAUAGCCUCUCUGCAAAGCAGGGUAAGGCUACAUAUAUCAAUCCCCCCCAGAGCUCAUAAGUAUGGGAUGCUUCGUGCAUUGGGCCACUUUUUUUUUCUUUUAAUGUCUUUUAACCUGUUUUUCGGUUAUAUCACUUAUUUGGACAUCUCUUUGAUUAAGAUGCAUAAGCACAAGGCACUUGCUUUACACUUGGACUUUGAGAUUUUGAGAACUUGUUUGCUAUUUGAGGGGAAGUUUUUAUUUCCCUGGGGAUAGAUUUAUUUUAUUAAAUGCUUCUAUAGUUCUUUUAUAUUUCCCUCCUGGAGGAAAGUACACAUGAUUGCUUUAAUUCUCCCUUGGAUCCUAUUACAAUUGUCAUUACUAGAUAAGUUCAAUUGGUUGUUAUCGUACUACUAUCAAUAACGUUUUAAUUAAUUUCUGAAAAUCCUUAACAG